RNAcentral lists this long non-coding RNA (557 nucleotides) under Malus domestica (apple). Its description in RNAcentral is "long non-coding RNA (MDOM_LNC001520)". Lineage: Eukaryota; Viridiplantae; Streptophyta; Magnoliopsida; Rosales; Rosaceae. The record is from RNAcentral.
AGAAACAGCACUAACAAAGUUUAGACCCAUAAAUUUUGAAGGUCUAGCUACCAUAUUAUUACCCACAAGGGUAAAGGAACAGUACCACUGCUGGAUAAUUGGAAAGUCCCUGUGUGUCAACCUCUGUGCUUCGUGGCAAGGUAGACUAGCAAACAUGCCCAACCUUUACUCACAUUCGAGAAAACACUCCCAAUAAGAUUGCUUGCUCCAAAAUCGAAGAGGCACCGUCCUCCGAAUCUCGAGAGCCAGACUCCCAACAUGACUACUUUCUUAAAAAUCGAAGAGAGGGUAAAGGAACAGUACCAUUGCUGGAUAAUUGGAAAGUCCCUGUGUGUCAACCUCUGUGCUUCGUGGCAAGGUAGACUAGCAAACAUGCCCAACCUUUACUCACAUUCGAGAAAACACUCCCAACAAGAUUGCUUGCUCCAAAAUCGAAGAGGCACCGCCCUCCGAAUCUCGAGAGCCAGACUCCCCAACAUGAUUACUUUCUCAAAAAUCGAAGAGACACUGCUCCCCGAAUCUCGAGAGCCAGACCCCCAGCAUGAUUGCUUUCUCAA